UACGAAGGGGGCUAGCGUUGCUCGGAAUUACUGGGCGUAAAGCGCACGUAGGCGGAUUGUUAAGUCGGGGGUGAAAUCCUGGAGCUCAACUCCAGAACUGCCUUCGAUACUGGCGAUCUAGAGUCCGGGAGGAGGUGAGUGGAACUGCGAGUGUAGAGGUGAAAUUCGUAGAUAUUCGCAAGAACGACCAGUGGCGGAAGG
Molecule: ribosomal RNA, 201 nt
Filed under: uncultured bacterium
Lineage: Bacteria
Description: partial 16S ribosomal RNA
Rfam family: Bacterial small subunit ribosomal RNA
Source: RNAcentral